CAAGACCAAAGAGGGGGACCUUUCGGGCCUCUUGCCAUCAGAUGUGCCCAGAUGGGAUUAGCUAGUAGGUGGGGUAACGGCUCACCUAGGCGACGAUCCCUAGCUGGUCUGAGAGGAUGACCAGCCACACUGGAACUGAGACACGGUCCAGACUCCUACGGGAGGCAGCAGUGGGGAAUAUUGCACAAUGGGCGCAAGCCUGAUGCAGCCAUGCCGCGUGUAUGAAGAAGGCCUUCGGGUUGUAAAGUACUUUCAGCGGGGAGGAAGGCGUUGAGGUUAAUAACCUCAGCGAUUGACGUUACCCGCAGAAGAAGCACCGGCUAACUCCGUGCCAGCAGCCGCGGUAAUACGGAGGGUGCAAGCGUUAAUCGGAAUUACUGGGCGUAAAGCGCACGCAGGCGGUCUGUCAAGUCGGAUGUGAAAUCCCCGGGCUCAACCUGGGAACUGCAUUCGAAACUGGCAGGCUAGAGUCUUGUAGAGGGGGGUAGAAUUCCAGGUGUAGCGGUGAAAUGCGUAGAGAUCUGGANGNGAAUACCGGUGGCGAAGGCGGCCCCCUGGACAAAGACUGACGCUCAGGUGCGAAAGCGUGGGGAGCAAACAGGAUUAGAUACCCUGGUAGUCCACGCCGUAAACGAUGUCGACUUGGAGGUUGUGCCCUUGAGGCGUGGCUUCCGGAGCUAACGCGUUAAGUCGACCGCCUGGGGAGUACGNGCNCNGCAAGGUUAAAACUCAAAUGAAUUGACGGGGGCCCGCACAAGCGGUGGAGCAUGUGGUUUAAUUCGAUGCAACGCGAAGAACCUUACCUACUCUUGACAUCCAGAGAACUUUCCAGAGAUGGAUUGGUGCCUUCGGGAACUCUGAGACAGGUGCUGCAUGGCUGUCGUCAGCUCGUGUUGUGAAAUGUUGGGUUAAGUCCCGCAACGAGCGCAACCCUUAUCCUUUGUUGCCAGCGGUCCGGCCGGGAACUCAAAGGAGACUGCCAGUGAUAAACUGGAGGAAGGUGGGGAUGACGUCA
Molecule: ribosomal RNA, 1015 nt
Filed under: uncultured Pseudomonas sp.
Lineage: Bacteria; Pseudomonadati; Pseudomonadota; Gammaproteobacteria; Pseudomonadales; Pseudomonadaceae
Also listed under: 1 other name
Description: bacterial SSU rRNA
Rfam family: Bacterial small subunit ribosomal RNA
Source: RNAcentral